RNAcentral lists this ribosomal RNA (325 nucleotides) under uncultured eukaryote. RNAcentral describes it as "partial 18S ribosomal RNA". It matches the Rfam family "Eukaryotic small subunit ribosomal RNA", at positions 1470 to 1796 of the family's 1831-position model. The record is from RNAcentral.
CCCUUAGACGUUCUGGGCCGCACGCGCGCUACACUGACCAGUGCAACAAGCAUCCGUCCUUGGCCGACAGGCUCGGGCAAUCUUUGAACGCUGGUCGUGAUGGGGAUAGACUUUUGCAAUUUUUGGUCUUCAACGAGGAAUUCCUAGUAAACGCAAGUCAUCAACUUGCAUUGAUUACGUCCCUGCCCUUUGUACACACCGCCCGUCGCACCUACCGAUUGAAUGGUCCGGUGAAUAAUUCGGACUGCGGCAUUGACCGGUUCCCGAUCGUUGCUGCGGAAAGUUUAGUGAACCUUAUCACUUAGAGGAAGGAGAAGUCGUAACA